GUCCCUGUUGCGUAAUGGAUAGCCCGUUGGACUACUAAUCCAAAGGUCGUAGGUUCGAAUCCUACCUGGGAGG
Molecule: transfer RNA, 73 nt
Filed under: Trichonephila inaurata madagascariensis
Lineage: Eukaryota; Metazoa; Arthropoda; Arachnida; Araneae; Nephilidae
Rfam family: tRNA
About the family: Transfer RNA (tRNA) molecules are approximately 80 nucleotides in length. Their secondary structure includes four short double-helical elements and three loops (D, anti-codon, and T loops).
Source: Rfam by way of RNAcentral